UGAAUCACUCCAGACUGAGGAAAUCAGAAAGACCACGGUGGUGCUCCAGCUUGACUGCAUCCACAUGGUUGAAACGAGUAAAAUAAUAAAAGAAUAUUG
Molecule: long non-coding RNA, 99 nt
Organism: Octopus sinensis (East Asian common octopus)
Lineage: Eukaryota; Metazoa; Mollusca; Cephalopoda; Octopoda; Octopodidae
Exons: 3
Source: RefSeq, a predicted model, not a curated record